Ananas comosus (pineapple) is the source of this 1670-nucleotide RNA transcript. RefSeq lists it as uncharacterized. The record is from RefSeq and is a predicted model, not a curated record. The transcript is spliced from 7 exons. Lineage: Eukaryota; Viridiplantae; Streptophyta; Magnoliopsida; Poales; Bromeliaceae.
ACCCAAUUACCAAAAAAAAAAAAAAAAAAAAAAAAAAACACUCCCCUGCCUCAACAGAUCAUCAUCUCCCCCAAAGCCCCAAUCCCUUCUCAACCCUCAAACCUCACCAUGGCGAACUCUUACCAUGGCAAGCUCUCUCCCGUGAUCUCCCAUGGCGAGCUCUGACCAUGUCCUCCCUGCGGCAUUCUCUCUCAUCUCGUGUCGAUCUCCUCUCCGCGAAACAUCUUCCGUCGUCAAGGCGGAGCUCCUCGACGACCCCGCCUUCGACUUCACUGACGAGUCGCGCCAAUGGAUCGAUCGGGCUUUUAGGGAGCAAGGGAUCGAGGGGCCGCCGCCGUCGUUCGUCUCCGGUAAUCUACGGGAGAUUACGAGGAGGAGCCCGCGGCCGGCGACGGUGGCGAAGGGGCGAGGUUUUGUCGACUAUUCGCAAGCUCUCUUUCCUUAUUUCACUCAAUGGAGCAAAGAUUAUGAUGUUGGACUACAAUGUGCCUGGAGGUUAGAGAAUUCUCUAUUUCUGAGGAAAUGAUGAAAUGCAUAUGUUUAAGCAGUCCCUGACUUGACAGAUAUGACUACUGGUAGGGAAACUAAACCGUGGACUAUCAGUGAUUGAUAGCUACAAGUUGUUAAAAGCCGGUGUUGAGGUCACUGAAGAUGAAAUCUUUCUUGGGUGUGCCCUUAAUUGGUUGGUGCAUUGAAUGGCUUCAAGCAUAUUUCCUUGUACUUGAUGAUAUUAUGGACAAUUCUCAUACAAGACGUGGUCAGCUUUGUUGGUAUAGAGUUCCCAAGGUUUAGCUCACUGAAGCCAUAAUUCCUACUUGAGGACAGAAGAAGAAGAUAGGUGUAGACUAUCACUAGAGAGUGUUCAGAAAACAAUACCACACGCAAUGAGUGGUGUUGUUGUAUGUUGACAUGCGUCACAUGCGAAUCAAUAUUUGUUUUGAGUCUUUUGGAGCCACUUAAUGAGUUGGACAGUUUUUCUUAAUGCAAGGCUGAUGAGGACGCUGCAGAUGCUUCGACUCUGAUAGGAAUUCCUCUAAAGACGUCGCACGUGAAAUUUGUUCUUCACAAGGAAUGCCUAUUUGGUCAACGGUUUCUUCUCGUUGGCGAUGACUCGAAUAUCAGUUCUUGGGAUCCAUCAAAAGCCAUUCCUUUGGAAUGGUCUGAUGGCCAUGUGUGGACAACUGAGCUGGUAAGUUUAAGAGAUCCCAUACUCUCUACUAACAUUAUUAGUUCAAUUACUUUUUACGUAUCUGAUCUGGUACUUUCAUUCAGGAUUUACCAAUCAAAGUGAUAGGUUGAUAUUAUUACUGUGAGAUUCUUCAAUAAUCAGUAUGAUUCUUUUUUGCUUGUCUUCAAAGUGCAUGAAGUUUGGAAUAUUGAUCUAAAAAAAUAAGGACUAAAUGAUUUCAUUAAAUAUUUAAAUGAUGAUUUUAAGCUUAAUCAUGUUGUGAAUAUACAAUAUGUAGUAAGACAUACAAACGAUGUUUUGGAUCAUUGUAAAGCUAGUAGCACAUUAAGCUUAAUUCUGUAGGCACUUCUCUACCCUUAAUUGGAUAAAGUGAUACAAUAUUAAAUGAUACAAUGUGUCCUAGAUUUUUGGCUCUUUUGUUGUUCUCUUUUUAUUGGUGCCAUAUGCUUCAUGAGUUGUGGUAAAUUAUUAAGUGCAAUUA